Molecule: small nuclear RNA, 105 nt
Organism: Lutra lutra (Eurasian river otter)
Lineage: Eukaryota; Metazoa; Chordata; Mammalia; Carnivora; Mustelidae
Source: RefSeq, a predicted model, not a curated record
AUGCUCACUUUGGCAGCACACAUACUAAAAUUAGAAAGAUACAGAGAAGAUUAUGGCUCCUGUGCAAGGAUGACAUUCGAAACUCUAGAUGUAGAUGAUUUUACU